Molecule: ribosomal RNA, 401 nt
Filed under: uncultured bacterium
Lineage: Bacteria
Description: bacterial SSU rRNA
Rfam family: Bacterial small subunit ribosomal RNA
Source: RNAcentral
UGGGGAAUAUUGCACAAUGGGCGAAAGCCUGAUGCAGCAACGCCGCGUGAGUGAUGAAGGUUUUCGGAUCGUAAAACUCUGUCCUCAAGGAAGAUAAUGACGGUACUUGAGGAGGAAGCCCCGGCUAACUACGUGCCAGCAGCCGCGGUAAUACGUAGGGGGCUAGCGUUAUCCGGAUUUACUGGGCGUAAAGGGUGCGUAGGCGGUCUUUCAAGUCAGAAGUUAAAUUCUACGGCUCAACCGUAGCCAGCUUUUGAAACUGGAAGACUUGAGUGCAGGAGAGGAGAGUAGAAUUCCUAGUGUAGCGGUGAAAUGCGUAGAUAUUAGGAGGAAUACCAGUAGCGAAGGCGGCUCUCUGGACUGUAACUGACGCUGAGGCACGAAAGCGUGGGGAGCGAACA